UUAAUUGAAACCAAAACUAGAGGUAAGUCACUGUUAAUGAUUCCAAUGAGAAACUCUCCAAUUAAA
This 66-nucleotide transfer RNA is filed under the name Harmonia axyridis. RNAcentral's name for it is "tRNA-Asn". The record is from RNAcentral. Lineage: Eukaryota; Metazoa; Arthropoda; Insecta; Coleoptera; Coccinellidae.